Molecule: long non-coding RNA, 477 nt
Filed under: Pan troglodytes (chimpanzee)
Lineage: Eukaryota; Metazoa; Chordata; Mammalia; Primates; Hominidae
Description: lincRNA
Source: RNAcentral
GACAAUAUCUUGAACAUUAAUGCCUUUAAGAGAAAUGCCCUUAAAAAUACCUUUAGCAAGCAUUUCCUUAGCAAACAUGCUCCUAGCAACAGAGAGUUAAGUUUUGUAAGGGCAUGUGAAUAUGAAGGCAGAGACUGGAGUGAUGCCAAGAAAUGUGAAAGAUUUCCAGGAACCAUCAGAAGCGAGGAAAAACGCAUGGAAAAGAUUCAGAGUGCUCAGAAGGAAGAAACCCUACCACCACCUGAUUUGGACUUCUAAGCUCCAGAACUAAGGGAAGAGGACGUAAAUAUUCCCAUUUAGAAGCCCAAAGUCAGUGAGAUGAAACCCAACAUCAAGAAAUUGAAGCAAAGUUACUUGUGUAUAAACAAAGCAUUAGAUAUUCCCCUGAAGAAAUUUGGAAAGAAAUUGAAAUUGCCUGUGGUUGUAGCCAAUUCACCUGUAAAGAAUAUAAAAUUCUCCCCAAGAACUGGUCAUUCC